GGGGAAGGGCGCUCAGUGGUUGAGCAUUUGUCUUGUAAGCAGAAGGUCCCAGUUUCAAUCCCUGGCAUCUCCA
Molecule: non-coding RNA, 73 nt
Organism: Podarcis lilfordi (Lilford's wall lizard)
Lineage: Eukaryota; Metazoa; Chordata; Lepidosauria; Squamata; Lacertidae
Source: the annotation of a GenBank genome assembly